UACGAAGGGGGCUAGCGUUGCUCGGAAUCACUGGGCGUAAAGCGCACGUAGGCGGAUUGCUAAGUCAGGGGUGAAAUCCUGGAGCUCAACUCCAGAACUGCCUUUGAUACUGACGGUCUUGAGUCCGGGAGAGGUGAGUGGAACUCCGAGUGUAGAGGUGAAAUUCGUAGAUAUUCGGAAGAACACCAGUGGCGAAGGCGGCUCACUGGCCCGGUACUGACGCUGAGGUGCGAAAGCGUGGGGAGCAAACAGG
This 253-nucleotide ribosomal RNA is filed under the name uncultured bacterium. RNAcentral describes it as "partial 16S ribosomal RNA". It matches the Rfam family "Bacterial small subunit ribosomal RNA", at positions 524 to 776 of the family's 1533-position model. The record is from RNAcentral.